This 254-nucleotide ribosomal RNA is filed under the name uncultured bacterium. RNAcentral's name for it is "partial 16S ribosomal RNA". It matches the Rfam family "Bacterial small subunit ribosomal RNA", at positions 524 to 776 of the family's 1533-position model. The record is from RNAcentral.
UACGUAGGGGCCUAGCGUUGUCCGGAUUUAUUGGGCGUAAAGAGCUCGUAGGCGGUGUGUCGCGUCGGCCGUGAAAACCUGGGGCUCAACUCUGGGCGUGCGGUCGAUACGGGCAUCACUUGAGUUCGGCAGGGGAGACUGGAAUUCCUGGUGUAGCGGUGAAAUGCGCAGAUAUCAGGAGGAACACCGGUGGCGAAGGCGGGUCUCUGGGCCGAUACUGACGCUGAGGAGCGAAAGCAUGGGUAGCGAACAGG